RNAcentral lists this ribosomal RNA (497 nucleotides) under uncultured bacterium. RNAcentral's name for it is "partial 16S ribosomal RNA". It matches the Rfam family "Bacterial small subunit ribosomal RNA", at positions 28 to 507 of the family's 1533-position model. The record is from RNAcentral.
GAUGAACGCUGGCGGCGUGCCUAAUACAUGCAAGUCGAGCGAACGGACGAGAAGCUUGCUUUUCUGAUGUUAGCGGCGGACGGGUGAGUAACACGUGGAUAACCUACCUAUAAGACUGGGAUGACUUCGGGAAACCGGAGCUAAUACCGGAUAAUAUUUUGAACCGCAUGGUUCAAAAGUUAAAGACGGUCUUGCUGUCACUUAUAGAUGGAUCCGCGCUGCAUUAGCUAGUUGGUAAGGUAACGGCUUACCAAGGCAACGAUGCAUAGCCGACCUGAGAGGGUGAUCGGCCACACUGGAACUGAGACACGGUCCAGACUCCUACGGGAGGCAGCAGUAGGGAAUCUUCCGCAAUGGGCGAAAGCCUGACGGAGCAACGCCGCGUGAGUGAUGAAGGUCUUCGGAUCGUAAAACUCUGUUAUUAGGGAAGAACAUAUGUGUAAGUAACUGUGCACAUCUUGACGGUACCUAAUCAGAAAGCCACGGCUAACUACGUG